ACAAUGAUACUUCCGUAACUCGCGGCCCGGCCACAAAGAAGGCGGGGAGGUUAGAGUCCUAUGA
The submitters of this non-coding RNA (64 nucleotides) gave its source as unclassified sequences. The record is from Rfam.